Molecule: ribosomal RNA, 123 nt
Filed under: Iodobacter violaceini
Lineage: Bacteria; Pseudomonadati; Pseudomonadota; Betaproteobacteria; Neisseriales; Chitinibacteraceae
Description: partial 16S ribosomal RNA
Rfam family: Bacterial small subunit ribosomal RNA
Source: RNAcentral
UUUCACCAGAAGUAGGUAGGCUAACCGUAAGGAGGCCGCUUACCACGGUGGGAUUCAUGACUGGGGUGAAGUCGUAACAAGGUAGCCGUAGGGGAACCUGCGGCUGGAUCACCUCCUUUCAAG